CCUACGGGAGGCAGCAGUGAGGAAUAUUGGUCAAUGGGCGUGAGCCUGAACCAGCCAAGUCGCGUGAGGGAAGACUGCCCUAUGGAUUGUAAACCUCUUUUGUCGGGGAGCAAAAGACGCCACGCGUGGCUUUUUGCGAGUACCCCAUGAAUAAGCACCGGCUAACUCCGUGCCAGCAGCCGCGGUAAUACGGAGGAUGCGAGCGUUAUCCGGAUUUAUUGGGUUUAAAGGGUGCGUAGGCGGGGGUGCAAGUCAGCGGUAAAAUUGCGGGGCUCAACCCCGGACUGCCGUCGCAACUGCAGCCCUGGAGUGCGCGGAAGGUAGGCGGAAUGCGUGGUGUAGCGGUGAAAUGCAUAGAUAUCACGAAGAACUCCGAUUGCGAAGGCAGCAUGCCGGAGCGCAACUGACGCUCAUGCACGAAAGCGUGGGUAUCGAACAGGAUUAGAUACCCGUGUAGUC
This 459-nucleotide ribosomal RNA is filed under the name uncultured bacterium. Its description in RNAcentral is "partial 16S ribosomal RNA". It matches the Rfam family "Bacterial small subunit ribosomal RNA", at positions 338 to 795 of the family's 1533-position model. The record is from RNAcentral.